This 1437-nucleotide long non-coding RNA is filed under the name Pandoravirus dulcis. RNAcentral's name for it is "putative ncRNA". The record is from RNAcentral.
CGCACGAUCGACUCGACAACGGCGGCGUCCUCGUCGAGACUCGGCACGUCCUCGACAGAGUCGCUCGAUCGCGCGCGACGCUGUCGUGCCGCCUGGCGGUCCCAAAGCCACUGCAUCACACAGGGCCGAUUGGCGGCGGCAGCGGCGACGAAUGCCGCGUUGGCGUCAAAUGGGAGAUUGCGGGCGUCGCAGAGGGCCAGUGCGCCGACAUUACCCGCGGCGGCGGCCUCGUCGAUCCAUGCCGGUUCGUCGCCGUGUGUCUGGCGGAGCGGGAGGCGCGAGCGGCGAUGACGCGACGGUAUGUAGGGCAGGCCCAGAUCGAGCAGUUUGGCCAAACACGCGGUAUCGCGGGCCUUGAUGACGUCGCUCCAGUAGUAGCAAGGCAUCUCGCUGCCCACGGCGAUCAAAUCGCCGAGCAGUUGGGCGUGGCCGCCGUCGAUGACCGGACUCAGGUAAGCGCUCGAUUCUUCAUAGCCAAAGCGAUUGCAGAGCAUCCGGUGCGCGUCGCCGAGGCCGCGCGCGAGGGCCAGAUGACGGAGCACUUCGACCAAUCCCUCGAUGUCGCCGCCUCUGUCAAUGUCCCAGUCGUCAUACUCGCCCACCUGGCGCGCGCUCGCUGGCCCGGAUGCGCGGAAUCCGUCAUUGUCCUCCUCGUCAUCGUCGUGGUCAUGAAGGGCGGGUGGGUCAUCGGCAUCGGCGGGUUGCAAAGCGACCGGUGCACGUGACGAAACAUAGGCCAGGCGAGGCCAAUGAUGGUCGAAAACCUGUUCCAUGGCCCACGGAGCGCCGCACGCCAACAGCGCAGCGACGACGUGCUUGCGGCUGGCACGGGCGUUGCUGCGGCACCACGUAUAGAGGCUGUCGGGGUCGCCGGUCCACGGGGCGGGAUCAUCACGAAUCCAAUCGGCCACGGCGGUCAUGCACACGACGCGGCCGCUGGGCCACUUGGGACAACCGACGGGCGUAUAUUGAUGCACCUGAUUCCAGCGCUUGUGCGGGUGCGCGCCCAUAGCCGCGACGUCCUCGGCCGACGGAUGCUCGAUGACGUCGCGCCAGAGGCGGCAUACGGCGCGUGCGACAAAGCGCCAACGCGGGUCGAGCAGGGGACGCGCGCGACGCUUCCAGCCGCGCCGCGUCGACUCGUGCCCGUUGAGGAUGCGCACAAGGAUUUCGGCAGGUAGCGCGCCGAGCAUGCCAUUGUCCGCGACGCCGUCGCUCUCGUCGUCGAGUCUGGGUGUGUCCAGCGCCGCGGCGGCGCUGUUUGUCGCGGUUGUGCGCAUCGUCGGUCGCUAUCUGGUCGCGGUGAGUUUUUGUUUGCCGUUUUUUUGUCACCGCCCCGUGUUUCCCUUUUCUUCCUUUUUUCCCGUUUGUAUGCAUCGCGCGGGCAAAAAAAGGACGAGAAGAAAAAAUGCACAUUGGCCCAACGGCCACACGGUC